CCCACUCUCUUAUCCACACUACACAACACCAGAUGCCAGCGUUGGACAGGCAGGGGCGGUGGCGAAGGCCUCCGGCGGUCGGAGCAGGUCGCCGGGCGUGGGGAUGGUGAGCGGCAUGGCUAGGCUCCAGCGACCGCGGGCGUCUCCUCCACCGCAUCCCCACCAUGGAUGGCCGGCCCCGAACUCCUUCGACGCCGCAUCCCGUCCUUCGACGCCGCAUCCCGUCCUUCGACGCCGCAUCCCUGCCAUGGACAGCCGGCCCCUUAAAUCCUCCGACGCCGCAUCCUUGCAGGUCAUCCAACGUUGCAUCCCCUGCCAUGGACGGCCAGCCCCAAACUCCUCCGCCUGGGACUUCGGGUAGGCGGGAUGGGCUCGAGGCCGCGGUUGUGGCCGGAGGAGAUCCGGUGGUGCCUCGGUGGUAGCGGCAGCGAGGGCGUGGCACUGGCUAUAUGGGGCGCUCCAUGCGGGAUCCUUCCCGAGAGCGAGGGGCUGCUUAGGCUCUUCGGCUGGUCCCGCCGCUCAUGGAGCCGCCCGCCUCCGAGUCCUUGGUGGCACACUCCCCCUGCAUCACUUUCGGCAGCGGUGGGGACGGCGGGUCGCUGCCUGCUGACGGUGAUGUGGCGUACCUCGAUGACGGGCCGACGAGGACCCGAGCCGCCAUGCCAUUCAAGCCCUCUUCGGCUGCUCCGACCGCCUCGACCAAGCGGUCAUGGUCGCGGCGGCCGCCGCCCAGGUGAUCGCGCUUGUCGUCUACAUCUAGCUCUUGAGUGUGGCCAUCAACUCGCUCUCAUGGUCAUCAGCUAUCUGAACCAUCAAGCAGGAAAAAGGCCGGGCCCAGUUGGUGGGGGGAUGCUGGAGGUGUGUAGCGGCAGGGAGCGUCGCUGGCGUGCGAGAUUUGAUGCGCAUGAAGGGCUGCAGCUGGGAGCGGCGACUGCCCCUCCGACCGAGCUGUUCAAUGCCGCAGCGGGGGCCUACCUCGACGACAACGACGAACGGGCCAGUGCCAAGGGCAAGACCGACGUGCAGUACAUCAUCCUCGACAGGGUGCAGCCAUCAGCAGCAUCGUCAGGAGGGGCAUGCUGGAUGAGCUCAAGAAGACCCUGGUCAGGAGGAGCAUCCAGAAAAAAGGCCCGUAGGGACGAUGGGAAGGAGAGCGUUCGGGCUGGGAGGCCUCUCCUCCCGAACGAUUUCAUUCGUACCAGGCGCCUGUCGCACCGAACUCCUCGUUGUCCCAGACCGAACGUUCGGUCCUUAUCUACGUGCAAAAACGCUGGGAUGAGGCCAGAGAGGGCUGACUUGGUGACGGAAAACCGGGGCGACCGAGAAAACCAGCAGCGAAAACAACAGCGUCCUCCUCGCUCUGCAACGGUCCACGACCCGACGCAUCGUCGUUUUGCUAGAAAUAAUACUAUACGUGGUAGGUAGCUGAAAAGUCCAUGGUUCUCUGCAUCUGCCAGAUCAGGGCAUGCAUGCUGGAUUGCUGGCCGUCGGCUUUCAGUUUCGGUGUUUCCUCCAAGAGAUUCAGUACGUAGUCUGUAUAGGAUGGCUGACCUGUCUGUCAGUUUUCAGUUUUAUUGUUGUCUCCAGAAGAUUCACAAGUCUAUAUAGAAUCUGAAUCUUUACUUUUUCUACAAAAAUGUGAAUCAUUACUCUCC
This 1655-nucleotide ribosomal RNA is filed under the name Triticum aestivum (bread wheat). RNAcentral describes it as "partial small subunit ribosomal RNA". The record is from RNAcentral. Lineage: Eukaryota; Viridiplantae; Streptophyta; Magnoliopsida; Poales; Poaceae.